Molecule: ribosomal RNA, 394 nt
Filed under: uncultured bacterium
Lineage: Bacteria
Description: bacterial SSU rRNA
Rfam family: Bacterial small subunit ribosomal RNA
Source: RNAcentral
AACGAACGCUGGCGGCGUGGAUAAGACAUGCAAGUCGAACGCUGAUUGUGGGGUAGCAAUAUUCUGCAGUCGGAGUGGCAAAAGGGUGCGUAACACGUGGGUCAUUUGCCGUGAAGUUGGGGACAACUCGCUGAAAGGCGAGCUAAUACCGAAUCUGGCUGUAAAGCUAAAGUUGGGGACCGCAAGGCCUGACGCUUCACGAUAAGCCCGCGGCCUAUCAGCAGUUGGUGAGGUAACGGCUCACCAAGGCUAAGACGGGUAGCUGGUCUGAGAGGACGACCAGCCUCACUGGAACUGAGACACGGUCCAGACACCUACGGGUGGCAGCAGUCGAGAAUUUUUCUCAAUGGGGGAAACCCUGAAGGAGCGACGCCGCGUGGGGGAUGAAUGGCUU